UUAGAGUUUGAUCCUGGCUCAGAUUGAACGCUGGCGGCAGGCCUAACACAUGCAAGUCGAGCGGUUGAGGUAGCUUGCUACCGAUGCAGCGGCGAACGGGUGAGUAAUACAUGGGAAUCUGCCUGGUAGUGGGGGACAACGUUUCGAAAGGAACGCUAAUACCGCAUACGCCCUACGGGGGAAAGGGGGGGAUCGCAAGACCUCCCGCUAUCAGAUGAGCCCAUGUCAGAUUAGCUUGUUGGUGAGGUAAAGGCUCACCAAGGCGACGAUCUGUAACUGGUCUGAGAGGAUGAUCAGUCACACUGGAACUGAGACACGGUCCAGACUCCUACGGGAGGCAGCAGUGGGGAAUAUUGGACAAUGGGCGCAAGCCUGAUCCAGCCAUGCCGCGUGUGUGAAGAAGGCCUUAGGGUUGUAAAGCACUUUCAGUGGGGAGAAAGGUGAUUCACCUAAUACGUGAGUUAAUUGAUGUUACCCACAGAAGAAGCACCGGCUAACUCCGUGCCAGCAGCCGCGGUAAUACGGAGGGUGCAAGCGUUAAUCGGAAUUACUGGGCGUAAAGCGUACGUAGGUGGUUUGUUAAGCCAGCUGUGAAAUCCCCGGGCUCAACCUGGGCACUGCAGUUGGAACUGGCAAGCUAGAGUAGGGU
This 649-nucleotide ribosomal RNA is filed under the name uncultured bacterium. RNAcentral describes it as "bacterial SSU rRNA". It matches the Rfam family "Bacterial small subunit ribosomal RNA", at positions 1 to 652 of the family's 1533-position model. The record is from RNAcentral.